Molecule: non-coding RNA, 23 nt
Filed under: Cricetulus griseus (Chinese hamster)
Lineage: Eukaryota; Metazoa; Chordata; Mammalia; Rodentia; Cricetidae
Source: RNAcentral
AAGUGCUGGGAUUAAAGAACUGU